AUUACAUAAAGAGUCGAACCUGCCCAAUGAUAUUUUAAAUGGCCGCGGUACUCUGACCGUGCAAAGGUAGCAUAAUCAUUUGCCUUAUAAUUGAAGGCUAGUAUGAACGGUUUGACAAGAGUAGCACUGUCUCUACUAAAUUUUAUAGAAUUUGGUUUUUAGGUGAAGAAACCUAAAUAAAAUUGAAAGACAAGAAGACCCUAUCGAGCUUUAAAAAAUUUUUCUUAAAGAUUUUAGUUGGGGCGACUAAGGAACAAUAAAAGCUUCUUUUUUAUAUAUAAACUUAUAUGUUUUGAUCCAAAAAAAUGAUUAAUAGAAUUAGUUACCGUAGGGAUAACAGCAUAAUCUUUUUUGAGAGUUCUUAUCGAAAAAAAGGUUUGUGACCUCGAUGUUGGACUAGGAUAUCCUAAAGGUGUAGAAGCCUUUAAAGGUUGGUCUGUUCGACCAUUAACA
RNAcentral lists this ribosomal RNA (453 nucleotides) under Ohrigocea samuili. RNAcentral describes it as "partial 16S ribosomal RNA". It matches the Rfam family "Bacterial large subunit ribosomal RNA", at positions 1840 to 2593 of the family's 2925-position model. Lineage: Eukaryota; Metazoa; Mollusca; Gastropoda; Littorinimorpha; Hydrobiidae. The record is from RNAcentral.